This 514-nucleotide ribosomal RNA is filed under the name uncultured bacterium. RNAcentral describes it as "bacterial SSU rRNA". It matches the Rfam family "Bacterial small subunit ribosomal RNA", at positions 37 to 518 of the family's 1533-position model. The record is from RNAcentral.
UGGCGGCAUGCCUAAUACAUGCAAGUCGAGCGCGGGAAGCAGACUGACGCCCUUCGGGGCAGACGUCUGUGGAACGAGCGGCGGAUGGGUGAGUAUCACGUGGGCAACCUGCCUGCAAGAUCGGGAUAACUCGUGGAAACGCGAGCUAAUACCGAAUAAUACUUCUUGUUGCAUGACGAGGAGAUAAAAUGACGGUUUUGCUGUCACUUGCAGAUGGGCCCGCGGCGCAUUAGCUAGUUGAUGGGGUAGAGGCUUACCAAGGCGACGAUGCGUAGCCGACCUGAGAGGGUGAUCGGCCACACUGGGACUGAGACACGGCCCAGACUCCUACGGGAGGCAGCAGUAGGGAAUCUUCCGCAAUGGACGCAAGUCUGACGGAGCAAUGCCGCGUGAGUGAUGAAGGUCUUCGGAUCGUAAAACUCUGUUGUUAGGGAAGAAUAAGUACGUUAGUAACUGAACGUACCUUGACGGUACCUAACCAGAAAGCCACGGCUAACUACGUGCCAGCCGCCGC